UCCCUGAUGGUCCAUUGGCUAAGACUCCAGGCUCCUGAUGCAGAGGGUCCAGGUUCAAUCCCUGGUGAGGGAA
RNAcentral lists this transfer RNA (73 nucleotides) under Bos taurus (domestic cattle). It matches the Rfam family "tRNA". From Rfam's summary of the family: Transfer RNA (tRNA) molecules are approximately 80 nucleotides in length. Lineage: Eukaryota; Metazoa; Chordata; Mammalia; Artiodactyla; Bovidae. RNAcentral also lists the same sequence under 5 other names. The record is from Rfam by way of RNAcentral.